GACGAACACUGGCGGCAUGCCUAACACAUGCAAGUCGAACGGAGCUUCUUCGGAAGCUUAGUGGCGAACGGGUGAGUAACGCGUAGGCAACCUGCCCUUUAGAUGGGGACAACAUCCCGAAAGGGGUGCUAAUACCGAAUGUGAUACAGCUAUCGCCUGACAGCUGUAUGAAAGAUGGCCUCUACAUGUAAGCUAUAGCUAAAGGAUGGGCCUGCGUUUGAUUAGCUAGUAGGUGGGGUAGCGGCUCACCUAGGCGACGAUCAGUAGCCGGUCUGAGAGGAUGAACGGCCACAUUGGGACUGAGACACGGCCCAGACUCCUACGGGAGGCAGCAGUGGGGAAUCUUCCGCAAUGGGCGAAAGCCUGACGGAGCAAUGCCGCGUGAGUGAUGAAGGGAUUCGUCCCGUAAAGCUCUUUUGUUGGUGACGAACGUGCAGGGGGUGAACAAUCUCGUGUAAUGACGGUAGCCAACGAAUAAGCCACGGCUAACUACGUGCCAGCAGCCGCCGUAA
RNAcentral lists this ribosomal RNA (512 nucleotides) under uncultured bacterium. RNAcentral describes it as "partial 16S ribosomal RNA". It matches the Rfam family "Bacterial small subunit ribosomal RNA", at positions 28 to 523 of the family's 1533-position model. The record is from RNAcentral.